This 5585-nucleotide long non-coding RNA is filed under the name Gossypium barbadense (sea-island cotton). RNAcentral describes it as "long non-coding RNA (GBAR_LNC013265)". The record is from RNAcentral. Lineage: Eukaryota; Viridiplantae; Streptophyta; Magnoliopsida; Malvales; Malvaceae.
CCAUUUCCCCAACCCCGUUAAACUUUAGAUAGAAAUCCCUAACUCCUUUCCUUCCCUCCUCCCUUUUUUUCCCCAAAUCGAAAACCCACCUCCAGUCCCCACUGAUCCACCAUCCCACCUCCGGUCUCCGGUCCUCCAGCACUCCACCUCCACUCCACGACACUAGGUGGCAUUGUUGUUCUCUUCACUUCGAUUCUUCUGCAACUUCCGACCCAAACCCUUCAAAUCAACAAGUUCAAGGUAAAAUGCUUCGAUUCUUCUUCACUUUAGUUUUCAUUUUAAUCAUGUACUUAAGAGAAGGCUGCUCUUUAUUGCUGAGUUUAGUGACGGUGACAUGCUUCGAUUUUUAAUAUACUGUUGCGGUGUUGCCAUGUUCUCUUUGAACUUUGAAGUCAUUUGCUAGUGCUUUUCUGUAAAAAUUGUCUAGAUGGGCUUGAUCAUUUUCCAGAUUUUGGCAUGUCCUUUCUACCUUUAUCUUUCAAAUUUAUUUUAUUUAAAUUCAAUAAUAAUAUUAUAUAUAUUAUUACGUGGAUCAAGCUUGAUUAUAUGCAGCGGAAAUGACUUCAAUCGUACUUCGAUUUCCAUUUUUAAUGAAGUUAGUACUUCAAGAAAAAAAAUCAGAUUUUAGAUAAAUUUUUAAUUUCAAAUUAAAAGAAAAACUGUUUAAAGUUUAAAUAAAAAUUAUUAAGUAUAUAUUUUUAAAAUGAUAUGGAAUGGUUGAGUAAGCCUAAAUUGUCCAUUUAACUUUACAAAGACAAAUUUUUAUAUUUAAAUUACAUCCAACUUUGUUUUUUUGGGGUCUUGUUGAGGAAAAGUCAAUCUAUAAAGGAUUGUACUGUAGCGGGGUUUUGUUUUUCGUAGAGUUUCAGUUAGUAAAAAUACAUUUUGUAAGCUCAUGGGAUCAAUAUCUAUAAUUAAUAUUAUGUAUAAUAUUGAUAUUUCUUGUGAAUUUGCAGAUCAUAUCUCUAUUGGUCGAGGUAUUCCUUAAAUUUAGUGAACCUAAUGAUCUCUCGAACACUGUUUUAAAUUCUCUUAGUACAACACUGUUUUAAAUUCUCUAAUAAGGAGCCUAUCUACAUUUAUAUCCAUAUGUUAUUUCUUCUUGUAUGAAAACAGACCAAGCAAGUUUUAAUGAACAUAAGAGAAAUAGGACUUUGAUAAUGAAAUGAUUUUAAUACGUCUAAGAACAUGUUCACUACUGGUCCAAAAAAACAAACAACCAACCCUCUGUAGCAGUCAUGACAAUCCCAGUACCAGCUCUUUGAAAAAUCGAGUCUUUUAUUGUAGCAAAGGUCGUUUAACUGGCAUUCACAUGGGUCUAAUUUUGUCUUGUCUCCUAUCCUAUGGAACACCAAUUCGACGGCAGGAGAAAUGAGAGCUACAUUAUAUCUUCUAGGGGCGUAGAUGCUGCAACUCUUUGCUCAUUCUUACUUCACUUCUUACAGUAGUAACAUUUCCCAUUGUAUUUUGUACAUGUUUUUCAUAAUUUUAAUCUCAUCUUUUUUGUUUUUGCUUUGUUUUAUUGCAGAAACAAGCUAUUGAGGCAGAAAAACAGCAGGCCCAGUCAGGUUGCUAUCACUUAGAGGUUACUAUCACACCCUUUCCUUCGAAACAAUCAAACUCAAAUCUUUUCAUAAAUGAUGUGUGGUUUUUUAGUAUUACUUAAAGACACGUGACAAGUUUGAUUUGUAUCACAGGGCUAGCAUAGUUAAAUAAUAUUUAAAUUCAAUUAAUUGGUAAUUUUUUAAACUUACAGUGUAUUAGUUUAGUGUAAUACUACAUCAAUUCUAACAUAAAGUUUAUAGAUAACAUGAUGAAAGUUAUUAUUUUAAUUUUUUUUCAUUAUAUACAAAAAAAUAUAAUUUGAUAUUUGAUAUAACCUUAAUAACAAUUAGUUUUAACUUUUAAGUAAAAAAAGGGCCGGGCCGGGCCUGGGCUUCAUAUUUUUCCACGGGUCGGGUUUGGGUUACAUCUUAGGCCCAUAUUUCGGGUCGGCCCGGGCCCAGGCCGAGUAAGCAGGCCGAAAAUUUUUUUGGGCCCGGCCCGGCCCAUGAGCACCUCUAAAGGCAAUGGAAUAAUGGGAAAAAAAUUUUAAGUAUUUUUUUUCCUUUUUCUUUUAAAUUUUUAGAAUUAGAACUAAAUUAACAUAUUUUGUAAAUGUUGAAACUUAAAUUUAUUGAUUUUUUAGAAUUCAAACUAAAAUAAUAAAUUUUGUAAAUAUUAAAGGCUAAAUUUGUUGAAUUUUUUAUUAAAACAAAUUGAUAGAAUGUAUAAAUAUUGUAUCACUAAAUUUAUUAUUAGGCCAAUAAAAAAUCUCACAUCAACUAUCCAUAACACGUUUGAUUGAUUAAAUCGAAAAAUAUUAAAGGUAUAGUUGAAUGAUUAUUUUUAUAAUUUAUCCUAAAGUAAAUUAUCACAUUAUAUAUUUAAUGCUUAAAACUUUACACAACUUAAAAUAAUUAUAAUUAUAAAUUAUAAAUUAAUUAUAUUUUUUUAAAUUUAGUAAUAUAAUAAAAAAAUAUUCUUGCCAAUUCAAAAACUUUUUCAAACUCUUACAUUUAAAUAUUUAUAUAUACGAAAUAACUUACAUUAAGAUGAUCAUAAAAACUAAUGUUUUUAGGCACCAAUAAAAUUUUGUCACACCAUCACAAUUUAAAGACAUAAAAUUAUUAUUAUACACUCAUUCAAAAAGAAAUUAUUUUAUGGACCCUACCCACCACAUUAUUCAUGGUCUCUUUCCAAUUAUUUAAUAAUAUUUCAAUAAUUUUUUCCACGUACACAAAAUUUUGGUAUUUUUUUACCUUGAACGCUGAAUCUAGAAUCCCGAACACUAAACCCAAAAUAUAAAACCCCAAACUCGAACAUUGAACCCGUAACCCCAAAGUCUUGAACUAUGAAACCUAAACUCGUAACUCUGAACCCAUAAACCUUGAACCCAAACCCUUGAAGCCCAAACUUGAACCCCAAACUCGAAACCCAAAUCCUCAACCUUAAAUCUCGAACCUAAACCUUAACCCGCAAGGUUUGGGGUUCAAGGUUUAAGUUCAAGAUUCGAGGUUCGGGGUUCAAAGUAAAAUAAUUACCAAAAUUAUAUAUCAAUGACAUAGAAAAAUUGCAUAAAAAUUGCUAUUUUUUAAAAUUGGUUGCACAAAAAUAAAAAAAAUAUUAAUUUAUGGAAAAAAACAAAAUAAUUAAAAUUUAUAAAAGAAGAAAAGAUGUUUGUUUAUAAUUUAAAAAAAUUAAUUAUUUUAAGUAAUUUAAUUAAAGUUAAAUUAAGUUAAAGAAGAUAUUAGAUAUAGAUUAGUGUAUAAUAAUACUUUGUUAUCUUUAAAAUUUAAUGACAUGACACUAUUUUAUUGGUGCCUAAAAAUUGUACCUUUUAGGAUGAUUCUAAUAUAAUUUAUUCCCUUAUAGUAAUUUUAUAUCUUUAAAAUGUAAUGAUGUGGUAAAUUUUUAUUGGUGCAUAAUGUAAGUUAUUCCCUUAAAUUAAAUUGUAGGUUGUAAUAUCAAGGGAAAAUAUGCCGUUCAUUAUUAUUAAGGGAAAAGGUUAGUAGUUCGUAAUUGGAGUUUUAGAAUGCGAAGAUGUGUUGAUAUUAGUUCACUAUUUUUGUCUAUAAAAAUAUUGUAAAAAGAAGCUAAAAUAGGUGGAGGAAUAAAUCCAUGCCAGAGGUGGAGAGAAUGAAAGAGAAUAUGAUACUUAUUCAAUGAAUAAGCUUCAGGAAUUUUAAAUGUCUUACGUAACAAUGAAGAAAAUGGAGCAUGUAAUUGAGCGUGAACACACAUGCAUCGAUACAGAGAAAACUUUGAGCAUCCAUGUCGAGGCAACUAACAAGAAAUAAUGGUCAACAAAGAUGAACUAGAGCUUAAGGACACCAAUAUUAAUGGAAGUUGAUAACUCAUGAGCUUCUUUAAUUAAUGUAAGCCAAAUCCUUUGAAGGUCUCAAUUCGAUUAACGGGGUCAUUACUGAAUGAAAAUAGUUAUAAUAACUCUUAAAUUAAUGAAGUGGACAAUGAGAGUCUAACCUAAAAAAUAAUCGAAGAGAAGAUAAAUUCUUAAUUUAAAAAAAAGAAAAAUUUAAACUCUUAAAAGUAUCGAGAAUGCACUUUGAUCAAAUGUUAUAAAAACCUUAAAAGAAAAGAAAUAUCAAAAGGAGGAGAGAGGUGCAAACACUAGUUAACAAAAGUGAAAAUAUACGAAUGAGUUUCUUAUCAAUUCUAAUAUUCAAAACGGGAAUUCUGCACAAAAACUUAAAAUAGACAUGGAUGAUAGACAAGCUCAUCGAACGAUUAACAAUUUAUGAUGACCGGGUAAUUAAUCAAUAUACUGAUUAAUCUUGAGGUAUAUAAUAUAAUUAAAUUAUAAUAAGAUUUUCUUUGUGAAAAAAGUACAUAUAUUGUGACAGUUAUUAUUUUUGCAUGUAUCCUUUUUAUUUCAAUGGUGAAUUAAUUAUUUGAAUAUACAGUAUUUUUUAAACCUAGAAAUGAUAGUAUUUUUACUUUGGUAUAAUAAUAAAGUUUACUCUUUUUUUUGUCACUCUAACUCUUAUCCAUCAAAGUUGAGUCAAUUUAUCAUUUUUUAAGUGAAAAAGUGUAGUCAAUUUUUACCCUUAUCCUUGAAAGUUUAGUCAAAUUUUAAAAAAAUUAAUGCAACCAACAUACCAGUUCGCUUGACAAGGCACAUGUUCUACAUAAAAUUUCAAAAAAUUAAUAAAACUUUUAAAACUUUAAUAAUUUUAAAAAGUUCAACAAAUUAACCAUUUCACAAAUGUAGUAUACAUGGAAAUUAUCACGUAGGCGGUCACAUUAGUGUCAUUAAAAUUUUAAAAUAAAGAUAAAAUUAUUUUAAUAUGUAGUGGCUUAAAAUUUUAUAAAUUAUAUGAAUUAUUUUUUUUACCAAAAAAUGAUUUUAUGUUAUUAAAUAUUGCAAAUAUUAGUUAUAUUAAAAUUUUCUGGUCCAUUAUUUAAAAUAUACAUUACUUACUACAGCUACGAUUGUUUCAUUGGAAAACUUUGAAAUUUGAUAGCAGUUACAAGAUGUGCAUGGUGGAGAUUUGGAAAAGGUUUGAAAUUUGUGUCUAUGAUUCUUUGGACUUCCAAGUUUGUUUUUCCACAUAGGUGUCAGUUUAUCUUAAAUCAACGUGGCUAGUUUACACCAUAAUCAAAGCCAUGCAUGUUGGCAAGCACAAGUGUAUUCUGCAGUGUCAAAUUGAAAGGUUAUUUUGUUUCUGUGAUUCCAAACCUUUACAUUGCUGUCGAGUUCGCAUUUGGUCUGUUUAUCUGAUGCCAAAUUGGUUUAUUUCUUUGUUCUUUGUGUAAGGAGGUUGGAAUCUUGCUGUUUUGAGAAAGAUCAUGAAUCAAGUUAAGAGGCCAAUGGUUUCAAUUUUCAAACUUAUUUUAUUGGGUUCAAGUAAGAAUCUUGAAUUGUGAAACCAAAUAAGAGAUUCUUUUCCACCAUAGCUAAUUCAUUCCUUGUAAGCUACAAAUAUGGUUAACUAUUGAUUCCUGUGUGCCAGCCUAGCAAAAGAAUAAGAAUAUUCUAGGUACUAUAAAUUUGAACACAACAUGGCGUGGAAAUUACCACUUAC